CAGUUCGGGCCAAACGGGGAUCUAGGAGGAUUUGCAGCCGUGCGCCCACCAUCUUGAGGACUGGCUAUGCCUCCAUCCACGGGUGCCGGCCCAACAAGAGGCCCAGCCUUUGGUUCCAUUACCAGCAGGUUCGCGAAGGGUCGAGGAGGGUCCGGCACAUGAUCAUCGUCACGAAGCAGCUGAGACCCACACUUGGAAGGCCCCACCUCCGUUGACGAUGCAGCCAGCGGGCCUUGACCGGAGGGGCUCUUGGUGGGGCCCGCCAUGGGGGACGAAGACCGGUCGUUGACGAGGCAAUG
Molecule: long non-coding RNA, 299 nt
Filed under: Brachypodium distachyon (stiff brome)
Lineage: Eukaryota; Viridiplantae; Streptophyta; Magnoliopsida; Poales; Poaceae
Description: long non-coding RNA (BDIS_LNC004435)
Source: RNAcentral